Molecule: transfer RNA, 70 nt
Filed under: Garra rufa
Lineage: Eukaryota; Metazoa; Chordata; Actinopteri; Cypriniformes; Cyprinidae
Description: tRNA-Pro
Rfam family: tRNA
About the family: Transfer RNA (tRNA) molecules are approximately 80 nucleotides in length. Their secondary structure includes four short double-helical elements and three loops (D, anti-codon, and T loops).
Source: RNAcentral
CAGAAGAUAGUUUUAAUAAGAAUGCUGGCUUUGGGCGUCGGUGGUGGGAGUUUAAAUCUCUCUUUUCUGG